AUGCCUUAUAUAUAUAUGAAUAAGGAAAAUAAUGAGUCGGGGUGACGCCGGAGUUCUCACUGCUAAUGUGAGAAGAAUUUUUGAGCGACCCGCCUACUUUGCGGGAUGCCUGGGUGAAGCGAU
Molecule: small nuclear RNA, 123 nt
Organism: Nannospalax galili (Upper Galilee mountains blind mole rat)
Lineage: Eukaryota; Metazoa; Chordata; Mammalia; Rodentia; Spalacidae
Product: U12 minor spliceosomal RNA
Exons: 1
Source: RefSeq, a predicted model, not a curated record